RNAcentral lists this long non-coding RNA (918 nucleotides) under Mytilus galloprovincialis (Mediterranean mussel). The record is from RNAcentral. Lineage: Eukaryota; Metazoa; Mollusca; Bivalvia; Mytilida; Mytilidae.
AGUUUGUUUCGAAUGUUGCACCUAAUUUAUUGACGAUUCAUUGUCUGUUUAUCAUUACUGAUGGCAAAUUCUUGUAGCGUUUUGUUUGGUACGUUUUGAUUAUAACAAUUCAAAACCAACCAAAUAUAUAGUUAGAAAUAUAGAUGAAACUACUGUGUGACAUAUUUUCUAGGCUUAUCAAAGUACCUAAUAAAAGAGAGACGAAAGAUACCAGAGGGACAGUCAAACUUUUCAAGGACAAUUUGACAUGAUAAUAAAACGUAUCAUUCAUGGUUAAAUUGCAUUCAUUGCUAUGUAACACUUUAGAUAUAAACCCGAAUUGAAAACGUAACCAGUCACUCAAGUGUAAAACGUAAGUCGUUGUGUGGACGCUCUUUAUUAUUCAAGAUGCAUCCCAUCAAUGUCUUUUCAUUGACAAGUUACAUGUAUGUAAUGUAUUAUAUAUUUAUUACGUACACAUGCAUGAUAGUAAUCCUUAAGAAUGUCGAUUGAUUGUUGUUUGCUUGCUGUUCAGCGACAUAUAUUUCAUGAAUUUCUGGACAAAAACAAUAUGAAUAUAUCAUUUAUUAUAAUUCGGUAAAGUCUGCCAAUAACGUUCAACGAGCGAGAUAACAGGAAUCUGCCACAGAGAAACGAUGUUGGAUGAGCGUUUUUAUAACAAGAACUACGGAUACAUUAGACGAUAUUUGUGUUCAAUCAUAUAUAGCUUAUUGACAUAUUUUACGCACAUUAAUAAACUUUUACAGUAUGUUCGCUGAUUAUAUUUCAUGUACGUUUUUGGGUGGAGGAUGAGCUUAGGAAAAGUGCCGUAAUGCCUUCCUUGUAGAAGGGUUGACAAUUUUGGACGAGCCUUAGUUCCUAUAAAAAUGAGAUCGUGGUGAUAACACGUACAACUUAAUACUUUCAAUAUUCUGCUAA